CAGAAUGUAGCGCAGUUUGGUAGCGUAUCUGUUUUGGAGAUAGAUGGUCAUAGGUUCAAAUCCUAUCGUUCUGA
Molecule: transfer RNA, 74 nt
Filed under: Malawimonas californiana (nom. ined.)
Lineage: Eukaryota; Malawimonada; Malawimonadea; Malawimonadida; Malawimonadidae
Description: Malawimonas californiana tRNA-Pro
Rfam family: tRNA
About the family: Transfer RNA (tRNA) molecules are approximately 80 nucleotides in length.
Source: RNAcentral